UACGUAGGGUGCAAGCGUUAAUCGGAAUUACUGGGCGUAAAGCGUGCGCAGGCGGUGAUGUAAGACAGAUGUGAAAUCCCCGGGCUCAACCUGGGAACUGCAUUUGUGACUGCAUCGCUGGAGUACGGCAGAGGGGGAUGGAAUUCCGCGUGUAGCAGUGAAAUGCGUAGAUAUGCGGAGGAACACCGAUGGCGAAGGCAAUCCCCUGGGCCUGUACUGACGCUGAGGCACGAAAGCGUGGGGAGCAAACAGG
Molecule: ribosomal RNA, 253 nt
Filed under: uncultured bacterium
Lineage: Bacteria
Description: partial 16S ribosomal RNA
Rfam family: Bacterial small subunit ribosomal RNA
Source: RNAcentral